AGUGAACGCUGGCGGCGUGCUUAACACAUGCAAGUCGAACGAGAACGGGUUAUAGCUUGCUAUAAUUGUCAGCUAAGUGGCGCACGGGUGAGUAAUGUAUAGGUAAUAUGCCUCUUACUAAGGGAUAACAAAUGGAAACGUUUGCUAAUACCUUAUACUCCUUAUUAACAUAAGUUAAUAAGGGAAAGAUUUAUUGGUAAGAGAUUAGCCUGUAUUGUAUCAGUUAGUUGGUGGGGUAAUGGCUUACCAAGUCUAUGACACAUAACUGGUUUGAGAGGAUGAUCAGUCACACUGGAACUGAGACACGGUCCAGACUCCUACGGGAGGCAGCAGUGGGGAAUAUUGCACAAUGGACGAAAGUCUGAUGCAGCAACGCCGCGUGGAGGAUGACACAUUUCGGUGCGUAAACUCCUUUUAUAUGAGAAGAUAGUGACGGUAUUAUAUGAAUAAGCACCGGCUAACUCCGUGCCAGCCGCCGCAGUAA
RNAcentral lists this ribosomal RNA (484 nucleotides) under uncultured bacterium. RNAcentral's name for it is "partial 16S ribosomal RNA". It matches the Rfam family "Bacterial small subunit ribosomal RNA", at positions 29 to 523 of the family's 1533-position model. The record is from RNAcentral.